GACGAACGCUGGCGGCGUGCUUAACACAUGCAAGUCGAGCGGUAAGGCCCUUUCGGGGGUACACGAGCGGCGAACGGGUGAGUAACACGUGGGUGACCUGCCCUCAGCUCUGGGAUAAGCCUGGGAAACCGGGUCUAAUACUGGAUAUGACUCCAUGACGCAUGUUGUGGGGUGGAAAGCCUUGUGCGGCUGAGGAUGGGCCCGCGGCCUAUCAGCUUGUUGGUGGGGUGANGGCCUACCAAGGCGACGACGGGUAGCCGGCCUGAGAGGGCGACCGGCCACACUGGGACUGAGACACGGCCCAGACUCCUACGGGAGGCAGCAGUGGGGAAUCUUGCGCAAUGGGCGAAAGCCUGACGCAGCGACGCCGCGUGAGGGAUGAAGGCCUC
RNAcentral lists this ribosomal RNA (389 nucleotides) under uncultured bacterium. RNAcentral's name for it is "bacterial SSU rRNA". It matches the Rfam family "Bacterial small subunit ribosomal RNA", at positions 28 to 418 of the family's 1533-position model. The record is from RNAcentral.